GCGCGGGUAGUCUAGCCUGGUAGGACAACGCCCUUCCGAGGCGUUAGCCCGGGUUCAAAUCCCGGCCCGCGCA
Molecule: transfer RNA, 73 nt
Organism: Archaeoglobus profundus DSM 5631
Lineage: Archaea; Methanobacteriati; Methanobacteriota; Archaeoglobi; Archaeoglobales; Archaeoglobaceae
Rfam family: tRNA
About the family: Transfer RNA (tRNA) molecules are approximately 80 nucleotides in length. Their secondary structure includes four short double-helical elements and three loops (D, anti-codon, and T loops).
Source: Rfam